CAGUUUAGGUAAACUCUCGAGUAUUUGUUUUACAGCCAAGAGACCAGUCUUUUUCCUUUAUAAAAGAACUGCCUGCUGGCUGCACAUUAACUACCUGUCAUACUGUAGCCCAAGUUAACUUUUCACAAGGAAAGCAAUGAUCAUGGGGCAAAAUGCCAAGUCCAAAGGCAGCUCUAAUAAUAAAUAUUACAGCUACCAGUCUGAAGAUGAUAAAGUUUGCAUGAUGGAUCCUGAAGAAAAAACUCCGGGUUGUGGAGUGCAGUCAAAAACGAAAAAAAUAAUAAAGUGCUUUUCCAAGAAACUCCACCAUGAAUCUAGCAUGCCUUCUGCAGAAGGACUUCAAGACGAAGAGAACAAAUAUGAGGAAAGAAAAGGAUUGGGAAAAGAGAAAACAAAACAAACAUCUAAAAAAGUUCACUUUGCAUACCUGUCAGAUAACUAUGAACCAUUGGUUGAAGGAGAAAGUCAGCCAAAAGAAAGCAAACAGGAGAAAAAGUACAAAGCAAAGCAAAAAUGCAAGAAGUACAGAAAGAAUACUGAUUUCCAGUUCAUGGGACCUGGAGUUGGGUUCAUGGAAUUUGCAUGAUUUUCACACCCCAAAUAACAAUUAAGUGAAUUCCCACAAUGGGACUAAAGGAAUGUUGGAAAGGCUGCACAUAGAGGCUGGAAAUACUUUGUUGCCGGAUUACAGGGGCUUGCAACAGCAUAUUCUUCUCCCUGGAUGCUGAUCCCUGUAUUGACUACAAGUGUCCACAGAUAGAAGACUAAAGGACUGCUGAUACUGCCUGCCAGGAUCUGACAUGAUUGACAAAAUAAUUUCUGACAUACAAUCAUAAUAUGGUGACAACAAAAUAAAUAGUCUCCACAAUGA
Protopterus annectens (West African lungfish) is the source of this 871-nucleotide RNA transcript. It is a transcript of the gene named chromosome chr1.part2 C1orf115 homolog, with no coding region annotated. The transcript is spliced from 3 exons. NCBI's taxonomy places the organism in Eukaryota, Metazoa, Chordata, Ceratodontiformes, Protopteridae. The record is from RefSeq and is a predicted model, not a curated record.